UUUUUUUUUUUUAAUCUGAGGGAUGGAUGUGAUUCUUAACUACAAAUUAGUAACAGAGCAGACUGUUUUAAUUCACAAUAUCUCUUUCACAUAAAACCUUUCCAUGAGUACGUUUACCUUCAGUUUUUCACCAGGUCCUGAAUUCAGCAUGAUACAUUUUUGUGCCUUGAGAUAUUAAAAUGUUCUGACAAGAGGAAAAAAAGCACCAUUCAUUUUUAAAUUUCUGACUGCUACUGUGGACAUUUGUAAGUCUGUGAUGUGAGAUGUAGUCCCUUCUAAAACCUGAUCACACACAAGUGGGCGGUUGUAAUGUUGAUUCAUAUUUUGCAAGGUGAGUUUUCUGUGGAUGCUGAGGUUUUUUGUAGAUUCCACUACUCGUAAUAACACUUGCAGGUUUUCUCCUACUUCUCUUCUUUAAUCUCCGACUACAAACAUUUUGCCAGGAUUGAAGAGUCUUGGAAGUCCAGAUCCACAUGCCACUAGUAAUGCCCACAACUAAUAACAUAAAAAUUUUGACCAUAAAAAUUUCUACUGCUGGGAUAGAGUUAUUCAUCAUGCAGUCUAAAUUUUUAGUCUGAUUGUUCAUCUUGCAUUUCUGUUGAGUUGCCACUAUUUUCCAGUAAUCCAUGUUCAGUCUCUCGUAAAAAUAGCAAGCUAUCACACAAGUGGCAGGCACCGUAUACAGGACUGAGAAGACACCAAUCCUGACCAUAAGUUUCUCCAACUUGUCGGUGUUUUCCCCACCUGUUUUCAUCACCCUCCUGAUAUGAAAAAGGGCCACAAACCCAGAAAGAAUAAAAGAAGUGCCAAUGAUUAGAUAACAAGCCAGAGGAAUGAGCACAAACCCCGUCAAGGCGUUCACAUCCAUGCUGCCGACAUAGCAGAGCCCUGUCAGCUCGUCCCCAGCCACCCUCCUCAUCACCAGGAUCAUGAUGGUCUUCACAGCCGGGAUGGCCCACGCGGCCAGGUGGAAGUAGCUGCUGUUGGCUUCGAUCGCCUCGUGCCCCCACUUCUUCCCGGCCGCCAGAAACCAGGUCAAGGUCAGGAUCACCCACCACAGGGAGCUGGCCAUGCCAAAGUAAUACAGAACCAGGAACACGAUGGUGCAGCCGGUGCUCUCCAGCCCCUCCUGGAUGACAUAGAGCUGGCCGCUGUCCCUGUCACACGCGAUGCUCUCCGCGCCUGAGAAGAGGCGGAUGAUGUAGCCCACCGAGUAGACGCAGUAGCACAUGGACAGGAAGAUAAUGGGUCUCUCGGGGUACUUGAAACGCUGAGGAUCUAUGAGAAAAGUGAGCACAGUGAAAGCGCUGGAGAAGAAGCACAGGAUGGACCAGAUGGCAAUCCAAACGACAGCAAACCGUUUGUCAUCCCUGCUCCAGUAAACAUCAACCCCUGGCGUGCAGAGCGGCGCGCAGGAAGCGCUCUUUUCCACAUGGUGGAACUUGCCAGGAUUUUCGCAGGACGCUCUGCUCAGGCUGUCCUUGUGCUGCUGCAGAUCGUGGCCGCUGCUGGGCCGCUGGGGACGAAACAUGGGUGGCAGCAUGCUGGAGCCCCUGGGUGGCUCGUCCGACCCGUUGUUGGGGGCUUCCAUGCACAGGUAGUUGGGGUCGUUCUUUUUGGGCAGCCUGCUGCAGUCCAAGGAGUCCGGCCACUUAAAAUUGAACUGCUCCAUGAUCGGGGAGCACUUCAGCCUCGCCUGCUCGCACAUCACCCUGCAGGCUGGGAUCGGGGUAGAAACCUGCUCCGUGCACA
Molecule: long non-coding RNA, 1752 nt
Organism: Taeniopygia guttata (zebra finch)
Lineage: Eukaryota; Metazoa; Chordata; Aves; Passeriformes; Estrildidae
Source: Ensembl